This 459-nucleotide ribosomal RNA is filed under the name uncultured bacterium. Its description in RNAcentral is "partial 16S ribosomal RNA". It matches the Rfam family "Bacterial small subunit ribosomal RNA", at positions 338 to 795 of the family's 1533-position model. The record is from RNAcentral.
CCUACGGGUGGCAGCAGUGAGGAAUAUUGGUCAAUGGCCGGAAGGCUGAACCAGCCAAGCCGCGUGAGGGAGGAAGGCGCAGAGCGUCGCAGACCUCUUUUGCCGGGGGACAAAAGGCCGGACUCGUCCCGUCCUGAGAGUACCCGGCGAAAAAGCAUCGGCUAACUCCGUGCCAGCAGCCGCGGUAAUACGGAGGAUUCGAGCGUUAUCCGGUUUUAUUGGGUUUAAAGGGUGCGCGGGCGGGCCUUUAAGCCGGCGGUGAAAUCCCGGGGCUAAACCCCGCCCCGCCGUUGGAACUGGGGGCCUUGAGUGCGGCGGAGGCAUGCGGAAUGCGCGGUGUAGCGGUGAAAUGCAUAGAUAUCGCGCAGAACCCCGAUUGCGAAGGCAGCGUGCCGUGCCGCCACUGACGCUGAGGCACGAAAGCGCGGGGAUCGAACAGGAUUAGAUACCCGAGUAGUC